Macadamia integrifolia is the source of this 3056-nucleotide long non-coding RNA. RefSeq lists it as uncharacterized. The record is from RefSeq and is a predicted model, not a curated record. NCBI's taxonomy places the organism in Eukaryota, Viridiplantae, Streptophyta, Magnoliopsida, Proteales, Proteaceae. The transcript is spliced from 2 exons.
AAUUGGCAUGUACUAGUGAAGGGAAGGGUGUCAAGUAGAUAUGUGGAUAUAAUUAAAGAUAUGUAUGAGGGUGUGGUGACCAGCAUGAAAUCUAUGGUAGGUUAGUGAAUUCCCAAUUUCAAUUGGGCUACGUCGAGGGUCAAUUUUUAGCCCUUAUUUGUUUUUGCUUAUCAUGGAUGAGUUAACUAGGAAAAUUGAAGACAAAAGCCUGUGGUGUAUGCUCUUUGUUGAUGAUAUUAUUUUGGUGGUGAGACAAAAUUAGGGAUUAACGCUGAGUUUCAAUUUCGGAAACAUUUCCAUCUUAUUCAAUCAAGUGUUAUAUAAGAUCAGAUUUUCCAUAAACUUCCAAAAUCUUCAUUACAUGGUGAGAUACAUGUAAAGGAGGUACUAUUACUUUUCUGUAGUUAAGUUUCUUAAUAAGCAGAUAUUAAAAUGAAUUAUUUAAUUGUUCAUUAAUAGAUUUACUUUGACUAAUGGGUCUCAAAUUUUCUAAGAGGAAAAAAAAAAAAAAACUUAGUUUACAAAUUUUCUCCCAAAACCAAACUAAGUGCCCAUCAAACCAAAGAGAUCCCAAUUAUAGACCUCAGAAAAAUGGGGAAAAAGAAGUCCUUAAAGGUAUUGAUAAUAUUUCCCUUUUAAUUUUCCUUUUUGCAAGGUGAAUCAUAUUCUUAUAUAUUUUUAUGAUUUUUUAAUGACAGUAGUAAUUUUUAUUAUAUUUUAGUGAUUCAACAGUUGAAACCUGAAGUUGUUGUGACAACUCAAGUCCAUAGAACAUGAGAGUUAAGUUCGUUUCAAGUUCUAAAAACUAGUAGUAAAGUGCUUAGCACAAGCACAAUUGUCCUGGUAGUUGUUUGUUUAUUCAGUAAUAAGUAAAUGGCAAGUUAAUUAUAACGAAGGAGAGUUCCAUUCAAACACUCAAGCAUAAGUUGUAGAUGGAGGUUGUUGAAUGGUUAAAAGUCUCUCUAGAAUUAAUGAUAUUGAUAAAUGGAAAAAACUGAGUUAUUUUGGUAAAAGAUGAUUUUUAUUUUUUGGGGCAAAAAUUGAUUGGGCACCUUGUGCCCUUGAGAGAAGCACAUAUAGUGCAGAGGGUCGAUCCUGAAUCUAUGAAUGACUAAUAAUAGAACUUGCCAAUUGAGGCAACUUCAAACUUUCUGUGGUCCCAAGGAAAAUAGAGGGAAGGGAGGCGAAAUUAAAUCAAAAUUAAAAUAGCAAUUUUUUUUAAUCAUUCUUAACAUGAAUUUGUAACUAAAUCAUUCCAAAUCUGAUUAUGAAAUUUUAUUAUCCUUUUACCUCUUGUCCUCUCCCAGUGUUAUCUGUUUCCAGAAAUGCUCAAACCUCGGAAUGUUGAAAGAAAAAAAAAACAAAAAAUAAAAAAACAAAAACAGAAUAGAAAUCAACCCGACAAUCCCAUACCCCAUCCAGUCCCCCGCCCUCUCACUGCAACUUUCUCUUUCCCUGAUACAUGGUUACUGGCUGAUUUUUCUGGUUUGGAGGUGUAUGCUUGGACUUGCUUCCUCAUUUCUUCAAAAGAAAUGACCUAUCACUUCAUUGCAGAAUGUACUUUAUUUGACAGCAGACCAAUACCCAUCUUCUGGUUAACAUGCACUACUGAACUUGUUAAAGAGUUUUCCAGUUGGUUCACAGACAAGAGAGAUAGAAGUUUUGCUUCUUUCCCCCAAUCUCCCCUCCCCCUUUUUCCUUGUCUUUCAAAUGUCAUAACAUCAACACUUCUAGAACAGUGUUCCCAGAGAUAGAAGUGGAAAGGAGAGUGAUAUAGAGAUGACGGUCUAAAGGAUCUCAAGCCUGGGAUGAAAGGUCCAUUUGAAAGGCAAGUCUUUCAUAUUCAUCUUUGGGAUUUUCUUAUUGACAACCCUUAAGGUGCCAAAUAGUUUUUAAUCUUACUUUUUUUUCCCUUUUAUUAUAACACAGUUCUCCUUUUAGCAAGGGUAAAAUCUUGUCAUUUCACAUGUGUACAAACGACAUGAGCAAGACAAUGACAACUAUUGAAAUUAACGUGACGGAAAGUACAAUUACAACUUACUAGUUAUUUUGAAUUACCUUUUUUGCCCCGAGUUAAAGAACUUUUGGCUAUAAGAUAAAGGGCACUUUAAAAAAGGUUGCAUGUUCUAAAUACAUCUAUAGAGUGUCAUAUCGACAAUCCCUUCAUCUUUAUUAAUAAAGUGAAAACUAAUCAAUCACAAUGUAAAAGCAUCAACAUUUUACAACCAUGAACCACCCAUCCACUAUCCCUGUUGUCACCAAUUUUAUUUUAUUUGCAAUCUUGUCACACGUAAACAAUCCUUUCCUCAAUUCUACUUGAGCAUUAUUUAUGUGCAAAGCUUUUGUUUCUAGAACUCGAAAUGCAAAAAUGCUUCAGUGACCUAUUGAAGAUAGGUAUGCAUCCAUCUUCUCAGGUUUCUUCCAUCUUAGGAGCGUAUGUUGCCACAGCGUCUGUGACUCUGACGAAGAUAUUCUCAUUGCCAAUCAAGUCUGUAAACUUGGAUGCAUGAAGUUUUUCCAUCACCAGCGGCCCAGGAUUCGCUAAGACAAGCUAAGCAAGACAAUUAUGGGACUAAUAAGGUACUUCUGCCAUACAUGAUAAGCACAAGGUACCUGAGGUACGGCAAGGCUAGCUAUGGUGAGUCCGGCGAUGAUAUCUCCUUUCAACUUUGUUAAAUUGUAGUCUCUCCCCCACUCAAAAAUUGGAAAAAUUGAUUGGAGAACUAACAUGAACUUUUUUGACCGAGUUUGGCCUAUGAAUUGGCGUAAAGGAUCAUCUGGAAAGAAAGUUUCCUUGAAAGUUGCUUUGAUUCCGUUGAAGAGAUUUUGUCUAGUAGGCAUUCCCACCCUGUGAACAUAUGGCAAGUCCUCUACAAUUCCCAUCUCCUUUGAAUCAAACUCUUCAAUGGAAUAAUGAGUCAUAGGAAACAGAUACUAUUGAUGAAGUUUCAACACAAAUGGGAUGUAUUCACCUGUACAAACAGAAAAACAAACUGUCACUGAUGGCAAUUUACAAAUGACAUAUAAAUUUGGUCUAAACUCUAGACCUGGUGUCA